AAAAUAAUUUUUCUUUAGAACUCUAGUACCAGGAGUCCAUGAUACGCCUCAUGCUCAUGAAUCUCAUGCCACCCAUAUUGCUGAAGCUCCUG
Molecule: long non-coding RNA, 92 nt
Organism: Sinocyclocheilus grahami
Lineage: Eukaryota; Metazoa; Chordata; Actinopteri; Cypriniformes; Cyprinidae
Exons: 3
Source: RefSeq, a predicted model, not a curated record